RNAcentral lists this ribosomal RNA (641 nucleotides) under uncultured bacterium. Its description in RNAcentral is "bacterial SSU rRNA". The stretch from base 1 to 544 matches the Rfam family "Bacterial small subunit ribosomal RNA", at positions 338 to 873 of the family's 1533-position model. The record is from RNAcentral.
CCUACGGGAGGCAGCAGUAGGGAAUCUUCCACAAUGGGCGAAAGCCUGAUGGAGCAACGCCGCGUGAGUGAUGAAGGCCUUCGGGUUGUAAAACUCUGUCAUUCGGGACGAACCGGAGUCUGAGGAAAUGCAGACUCUCUGACGGUACCGGAGGAGGAAGCCCCGGCUAACUACGUGCCAGCAGCCGCGGUAAUACGUAGGGGGCAAGCGUUGUCCGGAUUCACUGGGCGUAAAGCGCGCGCAGGCGGUGAUGUAAGUCUGAGGUGAAAACCCGAAGCUCAACUUCGGGACUGCCUUGGAUACUGCGUCACUUGAGGAUAGGAGAGGCAAGGGGAAUUCCACGUGUAGCGGUGAAAUGCGUAGAGAUGUGGAGGAACACCUGUGGCGAAGGCGCCUUGCUGGCCUAUUUCUGACGCUGAGGCGCGAAAGCGUGGGGAGCAAACAGGAUUAGAUACCCUGGUAGUCCACGCUGUAAACGAUGAGUGCUAGGUGCAGGUGGGCUCAUACCCAUCUGUGCCGAAGCUAACGCAUUAAGCACNCCGCCGUCGGGAGGUACGGUCGCGAGACGUAGUAAACGUUAAAGUAGUAAGUUAGACGGACGUUGAGGACGUUGCCGACGGACGACGACGAGGGGAGGUAGG